GCCAACUCUCUUCUAACCAACUUUUACCGCUCGCUCACGCUUGGCUUGCACGUCACUGUCAUAGGCCAAACGUGCCACGUAGAAUAUACUCAAGUUUGUAGUAGUAGACCAACUAUAGGAACUUUUUAACUUUGUGAUGUUUACAAUUAUUGACAGCGUGCCACUUGAAAUUAUCGUUCAAUAUAACUUUGGACGGUACGGUGUUAUCAAAGUUUUCAAUAAUACACAGGAAUAAUUAUAAUGUUUGCAAGUAAUAAAUCCGUCUUGGUUCGAAAUUGCUAUAAGAAAUUAAGGAUAAAUUUAACGACGAUCUUGCCCUGCGCGUUCACCAUUUCAUUAAAUUAUUAGUGGACUCCUUACUGGCUUUCCAUGGGAAGCAUCAUUUACAAUUUGAGCCAAAUCAUCGAAAUCUGGAUAUGCCAAUGUUUGUAGCUUUGAGUGGACUAGGGCUCCAUUCACCUUUACUUCGA
Cylas formicarius (sweet potato weevil) is the source of this 470-nucleotide long non-coding RNA. RefSeq lists it as uncharacterized. The transcript has 3 exons. Lineage: Eukaryota; Metazoa; Arthropoda; Insecta; Coleoptera; Brentidae. The record is from RefSeq and is a predicted model, not a curated record.